CUGUAGGCUGCAACUCGCCUACACGAAGUCGGAAUCGCUGUAAUCGCGGAUCAGCAUGCCGCGGUGAAUACGUUCCCGGGCCUUGUACACACCGCCCGUCACACCAUGGGAGUUUGUAACGCCCAAAGUCGGUGGCCUAACCUUUAUGGAGGGAGCCGCCUAAGGCGGGACAGAUGACUGGGGUGAAGUCGUAACAAGGUACC
Molecule: ribosomal RNA, 203 nt
Filed under: uncultured bacterium
Lineage: Bacteria
Description: partial 16S ribosomal RNA
Rfam family: Bacterial small subunit ribosomal RNA
Source: RNAcentral